GCCCGAUGGGAAACAGGUUAAUAUUCCUGUACCGAUGUGUAGUGCGAUGUGGGGACGGAGAAGGUUAACUCAGCCGGGUGUUGGAUAUCCCGGUUCAAGCCUGUAGUCGUGGUCCUUAGGCAAAUCCGGGGACCUUAGAUGAGGGGUGAUAACGAGGAAGCUUGCUUCCGAAGUGAGUGAUACCCUGCUUCCAAGAAAAGCCACUAAGCUUCAGCUACACACGACCUACCGCAAACCGACACUGGUGCGCGAGAUGAGUAUUCUAAGGCGCUUGAGAGAACUCUGGAGAAGGAACUCGGCAAAUUGACACCGUAACUUCGGAAGAAGGUGUGCCCCUAGUAGGUGAAGUCGUACAGACGGAGCCCAAUGGGGUCGCAGAGAAUAGGUGGCUGCGACUGUUUAUUAAAAACACAGCACUCUGCAAAGACGAAAGUCGACGUAUAGGGUGUGACGCCUGCCCGGUGCUGGAAGAUUAAAUGAUGGGGUGCAAGCUCUUGAUUGAAGUCCCAGUAAACGGCGGCCGUAACGAUAACGGUCCUAAGGUAGCGAAAUUCCUUGUCGGGUAAGUUCCGACCUGCACGAAUGGCGUAACGAUGGCCACGCUGUCUCCUCCAGAGACUCAGCGAAGUUUGAAAUGUUUGUGAUGAUGCAAUCUCCCCGCGGAAAGACGGAAAGACCCCAUGAACCUUUACUGUAGCUUUACAUUGGACUUUGAACAGAUCUGUGUAGGAUAGGUGGGAGGCUUUGAAGCCUGGUCGCUAGAUCAGGUGGAGCCAACGUUGAAAUACCACCCUGGUGUGUUUGAGGUUCUAACCUUGGCCCGUGAUCCGGGUUGGGGACAGUGUAUGGUGGGCAGUUUGACUGGGGCGGUCUCCUCCCAAAGCGUAACGGAGGAGUUCGAAGGUACGCUAGGCACGGUCGGAAAUCGUGCUGAUAGUGCAUUGGCAUAAGCGUGCUUGACUGCGAGACUGACAAGUCGAGCAGGUACGAAAGUAGGACAAAGUGAUCCGGUGGUUCUGUAUGGAAGGGCCAUCGCUCAACGGAUAAAAGGUACUCUGGGGAUAACAGGCUGAUACCGCCCAAGAGUUCAUGUCGACGGCGGUGUUUGGCACCUCGAUGUCGGCUCAUCUCAUCCUGGGGCUGUAGCCGGUCCCAAGGGUAUGGCUGUUCGCCAUUUAAAGAGGUACGUGAGCUGGGUUUAAAACGUCGUGAGACAGUUUGGUCCCUAUCUUCCGUGGGCGCUGCAAGAUUGAGAGAGCCUGCUCCUAGUACGAGAGGACCGGAGUGGACGCACCUCUGGUGUAUCGGUUGUCACGCCAGUGGCAUCGCCGAGUAGCUAAGUGCGGAAGAGAUAACCGCUGAAAGCAUCUAAGCGGGAAACUCGUCUCUAGAUGAGUCUUGCCGGGGCCUCGAGCCCCCUGAAGAGUCGUUCGAGACCAGGACGUUGAUAGGUCGGGUGUGGAAGCGCAGUAAUGCGUUAAGCUAACCGAUACUAAUUGCUCGUGAGGCUUGACCCU
This 1517-nucleotide ribosomal RNA is filed under the name metagenome. RNAcentral describes it as "bacterial LSU rRNA". It matches the Rfam family "Bacterial large subunit ribosomal RNA", at positions 1413 to 2925 of the family's 2925-position model. The record is from RNAcentral.